GGAAGCGUAGUGGAGUAGUGGUAACACGCUCGCCUCGCAUGUCAGAUGUCCGGAGUUCAAAUCCCGGCACGACCA
RNAcentral lists this transfer RNA (75 nucleotides) under Clonorchis sinensis. It matches the Rfam family "tRNA". From Rfam's summary of the family: Transfer RNA (tRNA) molecules are approximately 80 nucleotides in length. The record is from Rfam by way of RNAcentral. Lineage: Eukaryota; Metazoa; Platyhelminthes; Trematoda; Opisthorchiida; Opisthorchiidae.